Molecule: ribosomal RNA, 371 nt
Filed under: uncultured bacterium #0319-7M20
Lineage: Bacteria; Pseudomonadati; Pseudomonadota; Alphaproteobacteria
Description: bacterial SSU rRNA
Rfam family: Bacterial small subunit ribosomal RNA
Source: RNAcentral
UUCGUGCCAGCANCCGCGUUAAUACGAAGGGGGCUAGCGUUGUUUCGGAAUCACUGGGCGUAAAGGGCGCGUAGGCGGCUUUGUAAGUCGGGGGUGAAAGCCUGUGGNUCAACCACAGAAUUNCUUUCGAUACUGCAUGGCUUGAGACCGGAAGAGGUUAGUGGAACUGCGAGUGUAGAGGUGAAAUUCGUAGAUAUUCGCAAGAACACCAGUGGCGAAGGCGGCUGACUGNUCCGGUUCUGACGCUGAGGCGCGAAAGCGUGGGGAGCAAACAGGAUUAGAUACCCUGGUANUCCACGCCGUAAACGAUGAAUGCCANCCGUUGGCGAGCUUGCUCGUCAGUAGCGCAGCUAACGCUUUAAGCAUUCCGC